Molecule: long non-coding RNA, 1728 nt
Organism: Papaver somniferum (opium poppy)
Lineage: Eukaryota; Viridiplantae; Streptophyta; Magnoliopsida; Ranunculales; Papaveraceae
Exons: 8
Source: RefSeq, a predicted model, not a curated record
CAUUCUCCCAUUAUCCUUAUCUUCCCAUCUCUCUAUUAUUACUCCUCUCUCGGAACCACCUGAAAGAAAAACUAUUUUCUUUCUCGUGAACCUUCUUCAUCUCUCCUAAAUCCUAAUCGAUCUUCUCAUGAACCUAUAGAUCGGAUGAUCUCUAUCAGAGAUUGAUUCUUGAUAAAUCAAACAACCCUCUUCUAUUUAUAUAUCUGCUUUAUCUGUCUCUUUAAAAAAAGUUGGUGUUCCUGCUGCUACAGUCUACAUCUUCUUCUUCUUGAAAAAAAUUCCUUCACAAGAGACCCAGAUCCCCUUUUCUUCACAAUCAGAAAACCCUAUUUCGGAUUUUUAUUAUCGCAAUCGGAAAUCCCUAACUUUCUCUCUCGAAAAUCAAAAGUUACAAACCUAAUUUUUUCAGUUUCUGUCACCACUAUCAAUCCAUUGUAACAGAAACCAUUAGUGAAGAGUAAAAUAAAUCAUUGUGAAAUUAUCGGUGAUGCUGAGUAUCACUUCUUGUUAAAUCUUUUGUGAAAAUUUUAACCCUAGUUUUCAUUUAACAUCACGAAUAAUUGGGGAUUUUGUUGUUUGCAGAUUUGGGUUUGAUGUUGAAGUUGUCUCUGAAAAGGGCAUCAGCUCCAGCUCCAGCUCAUAUAAGAGUUAAAGAAAGCCCUCUCAGUUCUGAUGCCAUCUUCAGACAGGAUUGUGAGAGAGAUAUUGCAAAGGCCGGAGAUGAUGCUCCAUAUGAGGUUAAGUAUGAAAACAUCAACAAGUUUUCCUGGGAUCUUGUUCACACAAGAUGACCAAAUGAUGCCCAACGAGGAAUAGCUAUGGUCGAAGGGACUGAGCCAACUUGUGAAAGGGAGACUGGACCAACUUCAUAUCAGGGAUAUGCUUUAUAUUCGCUCACUUGAACACUAUAUAAGUCGUGACUUUAUAAAGAGCUUGAACAGCGUGGGUCUUUGUUUGGAGGAUGCACCAGACUUCUGGCAAGUUUGGUACCUGAGGCGAACAAUAUUAAAUCGGACGGAAACAGACGAGUUACUUGGGGCAUUUUUUGUGUGCUGCUAGUGUAGUUGUGCCAGUUAUUAUGAAAGCAAGAUCGCUUCGUAAGGCAUGAUAUGACUCAAAACCAUUCAGUGGCAUCUAAGAAAUGAUACAGUUCAAGACCACUUUAUUUUAUUUAUUUUUCCUGCAUGACAAACUCCCCACUCUAAUCCCCUAGCUCAUCAAUUAAACAUUUGCGAUUAUUUUUCUUUGCCAACUUUGAUCGAAAUUGUUUAAAAGUUUCUCUGAACUAGGAAAUAUUAUUGGAAGUAUAUAUCUGUAAAUUGGAUUGUGAUAACUUAUAUAAUGCAGUGUUAACUAUUCUGGAUGGAAUUUUAAGUUCAUGGAGUUGUUUGUAUAGGACUAGAUUGUUAUUUGGCGUUCAUGUACCAAAAGGAAAUAGCAUUCCAAUGGUAUGCAAGUACUUCUGAGAGCACAAGUGUGGUAUACCAAGUUGGCCAGACUUCAGUAACUUGCCAAUUCCUUGGUACACCCGCAUUAUGAAGUAGGAAUAAGUUCUUCAUCAUCAUCAUCAGAGUUUACAUUUUGCUGUGUACUAGUUUUUCAGUUCAUCGUUUUGCAACCGAAUCCUAGAACUUAAUUACUUUUCUUGUAAGAUUACACUGGUCAGAACUCCAGAUUUUAAUCCUUUGUGUAAUUUGAAACCAAUAAAUCAAUGAAUGUUAAAUCGAA